Molecule: unclassified non-coding RNA, 345 nt
Filed under: soil metagenome
Description: partial contains 5.8S ribosomal RNA, internal transcribed spacer 2, and large subunit ribosomal RNA
Rfam family: 5.8S ribosomal RNA (bases 1-119)
Source: RNAcentral
GAUGAAGAACGUAGCGAAAUGCGAUACGUAAUGUGAAUUGCAAAUUCAGUGAAUCAUCGAGUCUUUGAACGCACAUUGCGCCCCCUGGUAUUCCGGGGGGCAUGCCUGUCCGAGCGUCAUUGCUGCCCUCAAGCACGGCUUGUGUGUUGGGCCCCGUCCUCCGAUCCCGGGGGACGGGCCCGAAAGGCAGCGGCGGCACCGCGUCUGGUCCUCGAGCGUAUGGGGCUUUGUCACCCGCUCUGUAGGCCCGGCCGGCGCUUGCCGAUCAACCCAAAUUUUUAUCCAGGUUGACCUCGGAUCAGGUAGGGAUACCCGCUGAACUUAAGCAUAUCAAUAAGCGGAGGA